Molecule: ribosomal RNA, 497 nt
Filed under: uncultured bacterium
Lineage: Bacteria
Description: partial 16S ribosomal RNA
Rfam family: Bacterial small subunit ribosomal RNA
Source: RNAcentral
GAUGAACGCUGGCGGCGUGCCUAAUACAUGCAAGUCGAGCGAACAGACGAGGAGCUUGCUCCUCUGACGUUAGCGGCGGACGGGUGUGUAACACGUGGAUAACCUACCUAUAAGACUGGGAUAACUUCGGGAAACCGGAGCUAAUACCGGAUAAUAUAUUGAACCGCAUGGUUCAAUAGUGAAAGACGGUUUUGCUGUCACUUAUAGAUGGAUCCGCGCCGCAUUAGCUAGUUGGUAAGGUAACGGCUUACCAAGGCGACGAUGCGUAGCCGACCUGAGAGGGUGAUCGGCCACACUGGAACUGAGACACGGUCCGGACUCCUACGGGAGGCAGCAGUAGGGAAUCUUCCGCAAUGGGUGAAAGCCUGACGGAGCAACGCCGCGUGAGUGAUGAAGGUCUUCGGAUCGUAAAACUCUGUUAUUAGGGAAGAACAAAUGUGUAAGUAACUAUGCACGUCUUGACGGUACCUAAUCAGAAAGCCACGGCUAACUACGUG